RNAcentral lists this signal recognition particle RNA (303 nucleotides) under Phaseolus vulgaris (common bean). Its description in RNAcentral is "SRP RNA Plant_SRP". It matches the Rfam family "Plant signal recognition particle RNA". Lineage: Eukaryota; Viridiplantae; Streptophyta; Magnoliopsida; Fabales; Fabaceae. The record is from Rfam by way of RNAcentral.
GCCGAGCUGGGUAACACUAGCUUGUGACCCAAGUGGGGGCACCAAGGUGAUUGAACAAGGCUUUGGCAUUACCAAGUUGGCUUGGUGGUUGCAUCAUGCUGGCUUGCCCACUCCAAGCUGAGAGUUGAGCCAUGGGAACUUUGCGAAGGCAUUGGUCUCCUGGUUCCUAGACGAGAGGGCACAGCGUGAGGCUGGCUUCACAGAGCAGCGACUACCUCUGGCUCUUGGCAGUGGAGGGAUCACAGGCUGCUGCACCUUCAGGCCACUUAGCUUGGUGAGCCUGCCUCUUGAACAAUCACUUUU